GUUUGGCACCUCGAUGUCGGCUCAUCACGUCCUGGGGCUUGGAGCAGGUCCCAAGGGUUCGGCUGUCCGCCGAUUAAAGUGGUACGCGAGCUGGGUUCAGAACGUCGCGAGACAGUUCGGUCCCUAUCUGUCGUGGGCGCAGGAUAUUUGAGAGGAGCUGUCCUUAGUACGAGAGGACCGGGAUGGACAUACCACCGGUGCACCAGUUGUUCCGCCAGGGGCAUAGCUGGGUAGCCGCGUAUGGAUGGGAUAAACGCUGAAGGCAUCUAAGCGUGAAGCCCACCUCAAGAUUAGAUAUCCCAUAGCGUAAGCUAGUAAGGUCACUUGUAGACUACAAGUUUGAUAGGUCGGAGGUGUAAGUGGAGAGAUCCAUUCAGCUGACCGAUACUAAUAGACCGAGGGCUUGAACUAUA
RNAcentral lists this ribosomal RNA (413 nucleotides) under Oscillospiraceae bacterium. RNAcentral's name for it is "partial 23S ribosomal RNA". It matches the Rfam family "Bacterial large subunit ribosomal RNA", at positions 2516 to 2925 of the family's 2925-position model. Lineage: Bacteria; Bacillati; Bacillota; Clostridia; Eubacteriales; Oscillospiraceae. The record is from RNAcentral.